CGGCGGCUAAUACCGCAUACGCCUUACGAGGGAAAGAUUUAUCGCCCUGGGAGGGCCCGCGUUGGAUUAGCUUGUUGGUGGGUAACGGCCCACCAAGGCGACGAUCCAUAGCUGGUCUGAGAGGAUGAUCAGCCACACUGGGACUGAGACACGGCCCAGACUCCUACGGGAGGGCAGCAGUGGGGAAUAUUGGACAAUGGGGGCAACCCUGAUCCAGCCAUGCCGCGUGCGUGAAGAAGGCUUUAGGGUUGUAAAGCGCUUUCACCGGUGACGAUGAUGACGGUAACCGGAGAAGAAGCCCCGGCUAACUCCGUG
This 315-nucleotide ribosomal RNA is filed under the name uncultured bacterium. RNAcentral describes it as "bacterial SSU rRNA". It matches the Rfam family "Bacterial small subunit ribosomal RNA", at positions 157 to 507 of the family's 1533-position model. The record is from RNAcentral.